UAAGCCAGAAGAGGCGCGUCGCCCAGGUAUCGUGUUUGAGGAGCCAAUCCGCAGACGACACAGGAGGGGGAGCGACGCCGAGGUAGUGCAUGUAUGGCAGCAUGUAUUAUCGGCCACGGGGGCUGAAUCCCUUGGGCUGUCACCAGGAGCACUCAGUGCUCCAAAUUAUUCCCCGAAUUUAUUGGCGUUGCAGCAAGGCGACAAGCUAAUGAAUCCCGAUGAGCUUACUUGAGUAAGUGAUUCGGGUGAGUUAGCGCAGACAACGCCGCUGCGGCGUCAAGAAAUCGGGGAAACAAGGUGGGGCGCUUCUGGGUGU
RNAcentral lists this non-coding RNA (316 nucleotides) under Buttiauxella agrestis. RNAcentral's name for it is "Lysine sequence". The stretch from base 1 to 161 matches the Rfam family "Lysine riboswitch aptamer". Rfam says of the family: Riboswitches are metabolite binding domains within certain messenger RNAs that serve as precision sensors for their corresponding targets. Allosteric rearrangement of mRNA structure is mediated by ligand binding, and this results in modulation of gene expression. Lineage: Bacteria; Pseudomonadati; Pseudomonadota; Gammaproteobacteria; Enterobacterales; Enterobacteriaceae. The record is from RNAcentral.